Molecule: ribosomal RNA, 672 nt
Filed under: bacterium
Lineage: Bacteria
Description: bacterial SSU rRNA
Rfam family: Bacterial small subunit ribosomal RNA
Source: RNAcentral
CAUGCAGUCGAACGCUUCUUUCCUCCCGAGUGCUUGCACUCAAUUGGAAAGAGGAGGGGAGGACGGGUGAGUAACACGUGGGUAACCUACCCAUCAGAGGGGGAUAACACUUGGAAACAGGUGCUAAUACCGCAUAACAGUUUAUGCCGCAUGGCAUAAGAGUGAAAGGCGCUUUCGGGUGUCGCUGAUGGAUGGACCCGCGGUGCAUUAGCUAGUUGGUGAGGUAACGGCUCACCAAGGCCACGAUGCAUAGCCGACCUGAGAGGGUGAUCGGCCACACUGGGACUGAGACACGGCCCAGACUCCUACGGGAGGCAGCAGUAGGGAAUCUUCGGCAAUGGACGAAAGUCUGACCGAGCAACGCCGCGUGAGUGAAGAAGGUUUUCGGAUCGUAAAACUCUGUUGUUAGAGAAGAACAAGGACGUUAGUAACUGAACGUCCCCUGACGGUAUCUAACCAGAAAGCCACGGCUAACUACGUGCCAGCAGCCGCGGUAAUACGUAGGUGGCAAGCGUUGUCCGGAUUUAUUGGGCGUAAAGCGAGCGCAGGCGGUUUCUUAAGUCUGAUGUGAAAGCCCCCGGCUCAACCGGGGAGGGUCAUUGGAAACUGGGAGACUUGAGUGCAGAAGAGGAGAGUGGAAUUCCAUGUGUAGCGGUGAAAUGCGUAGAUAUA